This 253-nucleotide ribosomal RNA is filed under the name uncultured bacterium. RNAcentral describes it as "partial 16S ribosomal RNA". It matches the Rfam family "Bacterial small subunit ribosomal RNA", at positions 524 to 776 of the family's 1533-position model. The record is from RNAcentral.
UACGAAGGGGGCGAGCGUUGUUCGGAAUUACUGGGCGGAAAGGGUGCGUAGGCGGCGCGGUAAGUCGGGUGUGAAAUCUUGGAGCUUAACUCCGAAACUGCAUUCGAUACUGCCGUGCUUGAGGACUGGAGAGGAGACUGGAAUUUACGGUGUAGCGGUGAAAUGCGUAGAUAUCGUAAGGAAGACCAGUGGCGAAGGCGGGUCUCUGGACAGUUCCUGACGCUGAGGCACGAAGGCCAGGGGAGCAAACGGG